UAGGGAAUCUUCGGCAAUGGACGAAAGUCUGACCGAGCAACGCCGCGUGAGUGAAGAAGGUUUUCGGAUCGUAAAACUCUGUUGUUAGAGAAGAACAAGGACGUUAGUAACUGAACGUCCCCUGACGGUAUCUAACCAGAAAGCCACGGCUAACUACGUGCCAGCAGCCGCGGUAAUACGUAGGUGGCAAGCGUUGUCCGGAUUUAUUGGGCGUAAAGCGAGCGCAGGCGGUUUCUUAAGUCUGAUGUGAAAGCCCCCGGCUCAACCGGGGAGGGUCAUUGGAAACUGGGGGACGUGAGUGCAGAAGAGGAGAGUGGAAUUCCAUGUGUAGCGGUGAAAUGCGUAGAUAUAUGGAGGAACACCAGUGGCGAAGGCGGCUCUCUGGUCUGUAACUGACGCUGAGGCUCGAAAGCGUGGGGAGCAAACAGG
This 429-nucleotide ribosomal RNA is filed under the name Gemmatimonadota bacterium. RNAcentral describes it as "Gemmatimonadetes bacterium partial 16S ribosomal RNA". It matches the Rfam family "Bacterial small subunit ribosomal RNA", at positions 355 to 776 of the family's 1533-position model. Lineage: Bacteria; Pseudomonadati; Gemmatimonadota. The record is from RNAcentral.